Molecule: long non-coding RNA, 872 nt
Filed under: Canis lupus familiaris (dog)
Lineage: Eukaryota; Metazoa; Chordata; Mammalia; Carnivora; Canidae
Description: lncRNA (ENSCAFG00030001194.1)
Source: RNAcentral
AGCGCACGGGCGCCUCAGCGGGCGGACCUCGGGGGCGGCGCCGCGGGCAGCGAGCGGGCGCCGGGAAGCCGCAUCCAGCUCGCGGGGUGCUCUGCGCUCGCCCGCGCGGCCCCCACAGCCUGCGCCCCGAGAAGCCGCCCCGGAGUGCGCGCUGCCCGUUAUGUGCACGACUUUAGGGAGCUGCCCUCCGCGUGACGUGCGCCAACUUUCCGCCAAUGGCGCGCGGGCAGCCCCGAGGGCCCGAGCGCCCCGCCCCGCCCGCCCCGCCCGCCCGCCCGGCCCGGCCCGGCCCGGCCCGGCCCGGCCCUCGGCUCUCCCGCCCGCUCGCGGGGCCGGCCCGGGCGGGGCCCCGCCGCUGCCCGGCCGCCCCCGAGGCCCGCGGCUGGGGCUGGCGAGCUCCCCCGCCGCGCCCGGGGCUUGGCGCUCCCUGGGGGCCGCUACCUGUGCGGCCCCCAGCACUCGGAAGAAGCAGCGACAGGCAGGGACAGGCACACGCGCACCCCGACAGACAGGCUCAGACUUCUGCGGAGACGCGCCCGUCCAGCGCACCCCCCAAGCACACUCGUGCGCGCGCACACAGAAGCCCACGCGCACAAAGUCACCCCUGCCCAGCGGAGGCCGGGCCAGAAAGCCAACACAGGAGCGCCCAGAGCACAGAACCAGGUAAACAGGACGCUGAGCGCUCACGUGGAGGCAGGCAGAGAGCCACAGACUCGGACGACCCCCUCCAGUGUUGCUCUCAGAUUUCUAGAAUAUACUGUUAUGGCCACAGAGUUCUUCCUCAUGACUACCCUUCUCUGGUGAAGAAGCUGAAAUACAAUUUAACCAAACCUGAAACUGAAAAGAAGACGAGAAGACCUGGGGCGAGCUGA